CAACUGUUUAUCAAAAACAUUGCUUCUAGAAAAACACAUUAAAAGUAUUACUCUGCCCUAUGAUAUAUAUUAUUAAAUGGCCGCGGUAUCCUGACCGUGCAAAGGUAGCAUAAUCACUUGUCUAUUAAUUGUAGACUGGAAUGAACGGGUCAAUGAAAUUUAAGCUGUCUCUAAUUAAUUAAAUAAAAAUUAGUCAUUAAGUGAAGAAACUUAAAUAAAAUUGAAAGACAAGAAGACCCUAUAGAGCUUUACUUUAACUUAAAAUCAUAAUUUUAAUUAUAGUUCGGUUGGGGCGACCAGGGAAAUAUCAUCUCUAAACACAUAGAAAAAUAUUUCAUUUAAAAUGACCCUUUUAAGAUCAUAAAAUUAAGCUACCUUAGGGAUAACAGGCUAAUUUUCCUUCAGAGACCUUAUUAACAGGAAAGAUUGGCACCUCGAUGUUGGCUUAGGAAAUCUAUGUGAUGCAGAAGUCACAUAAAGAAGGUUUGUUCAACCUUUAAUAUCCUACAUGAGCUGAGUUCAGACCGGCGUA
This is a ribosomal RNA of 532 nucleotides. It matches the Rfam family "Bacterial large subunit ribosomal RNA", at positions 1797 to 2623 of the family's 2925-position model.